GGGGUCCCCAGAGCCGGCACACCAAGUGGCACAAAGCAAGCUGAUGCUCAAGUGUCAGCCCUGUUCCGAGGGCUUUGCCCCUCACACAACCCUGUGAGGAAGGUCCUGUCACUCGCUCUGUUUUACAAAUGAGGCAGAGACACAGGAAGUGACUUGCCCAAUGUCACACGGUUAUUAGGUGCUGGAGAGGCACUCAAAGCCGGGUGGCCAGCUCUGAGAGUCCCAAGUAACCACUGUGCCUGCUGCUCAAAUGAACUGAAUUCAGUUGAAUGGAAAGUCAGGAAAGUGGCGAGCUUAAAAGAAGGCAGAAAAGGAUUUGGCUUAAUUCUACUCAUCUCCAAAAUAAAAGCCGAUUUGUUCGAUUCUCCCCUCCAUCUCAGCAGUGUCCAGCGACAUUUCCAUGAGUGCAGAGAGACAAACAUCCUCUCCUGCCCACUCUUCCCGAAUCCCCGCUCUGCAUCCACCUGCGUGCGUAGUGGAACCAGUCCCGGGACUGCAGACGCUCCAUAGACUGUGAGAGAGAACAAGUGGUCAUCACAGAGGUCAGCUCCGAGAUCCUGGAUAUGUGAAUGCCGGCAGCCCUGCCCACCACCCAUCCCUGCGGUCUUGUCCUGUCUGGGGCCCCCACCCAAGAGUGGAAGGCAGGCAGGCCCGAGGGUUUGCCUCAGCCUGACUCACCCAUAUCAACCUUUCACAGAGCGCUUCGGCAUGGUCUACUCCUAAUGCAUGGCUGGUGGGAAGCUCAGUCCACGACUUGGUGUGGUUACUCCAGGGACGUACUGGAAAGCACAGAUGUGUUCUGGCCAGAGGACCACACCUGCGUGCAGGGGCACGGGCGUCCCUUUCUGUUCUUAAAGACAUCUGCCUUGGUCAUACCAGAAUUCAGGCUCAGAGUAGGAUUGAAUGGCUCCAACUACUUUGAAGUUCGGCAUGGUCCUACAGCUUUUUUGACCAAUAGAAUACAGAAGUGGUAGGUGUCACUUCUGGGCAGGAGCUUCAAGAGAAGGGCGAGCUUCACCACGUUCCCCUCCCCGUGCUGUGGGGAAUGUGGAAGAAGGUGCACAGGGGAGCCGCCACCGCCCUGAGUCCCUGCAUGUCUGCAACCGGCAGAUCCCUUCCCAUGCCCAACAGACAUUCAAUGGGAUCAAGAAGUAAACUCUUGUUGUUUUAAGCCACUAAGUUUCGAUGGUUAUUUU
This is a long non-coding RNA of Equus caballus (horse), 1196 nucleotides long. Lineage: Eukaryota; Metazoa; Chordata; Mammalia; Perissodactyla; Equidae. The record is from Ensembl.